Molecule: long non-coding RNA, 225 nt
Filed under: Mytilus galloprovincialis (Mediterranean mussel)
Lineage: Eukaryota; Metazoa; Mollusca; Bivalvia; Mytilida; Mytilidae
Source: RNAcentral
CUUCGCAAGUUUAUAAUGAUAGGAGUUUAUGAACAGAUAUAAUAUCCUUGUCCUUUGUUCUUUGGUGGAUAGAUGUCUCAUUGACAAUCAUACCACAUCAAUGAUCUUUUUAAAAAAAACAAAAACAUAACGACGACACAGCCAAACGAAAAAAAAAAUUGAUCAGAAAAAUACCAGCCCACUAAACCUUGAGUCAAAUAAUAAAAACUGACAUCUCAUUAUGAA